Molecule: ribosomal RNA, 253 nt
Filed under: uncultured bacterium
Lineage: Bacteria
Description: partial 16S ribosomal RNA
Rfam family: Bacterial small subunit ribosomal RNA
Source: RNAcentral
UACAGAGGGGGCAAGCGUUGUUCGGAAUUACUGGGCGUAAAGGGCGCGUAGGCGGCCUGUUAAGUCGAACGUGAAAUCCCCGAGCUCAACCCGGGAACUGCGUCCGAUACUGGCAGGCUUGAAUCCGGGAGAGGGAUGCGGAAUUCCAGGUGUAGCGGUGAAAUGCGUAGAUAUCAGGAGGAACACCGGUGGUGUAGACGGCCUACUGGACCACGACUGACACUGAGGCACGAAAGCGUGGGUAGCAAACAGG